GGAAGCUUGCUNNNUGAUGUUAGCGGCGGACGGGUGAGUAACACGUGGGUAACCUGCCUGUAAGACUGGGAUAACUCCGGGAAACCGGGGCUAAUACCGGAUGCUUGAUUGAACCGCAUGGUUCAAUUAUAAAAGGUGGCUUUUAGCUACCACUUACAGAUGGACCCGCGGCGCAUUAGCUAGUUGGUGAGGUAACGGCUCACCAAGGCAACGAUGCGUAGCCGACCUGAGAGGGUGAUCGGCCACACUGGGACUGAGACACGGCCCAGACUCCUACGGGAG
This 282-nucleotide ribosomal RNA is filed under the name Bacillus amyloliquefaciens. RNAcentral's name for it is "partial 16S ribosomal RNA". It matches the Rfam family "Bacterial small subunit ribosomal RNA", at positions 74 to 347 of the family's 1533-position model. The record is from RNAcentral. Lineage: Bacteria; Bacillati; Bacillota; Bacilli; Caryophanales; Bacillaceae.